Molecule: ribosomal RNA, 911 nt
Filed under: uncultured bacterium
Lineage: Bacteria
Description: bacterial SSU rRNA
Rfam family: Bacterial small subunit ribosomal RNA
Source: RNAcentral
ACGCUGGCGGCGUGCCUAAUACAUGCAAGUAGAACGCUGAAGAGAGGAGCUUGCUCUUCUUGAAUGAGUUGCGAACGGGUGAGUAACGCGUAGGUAACCUGCCUUGUAGCGGGGGAUAACUAUUGGAAACGAUAGCUAAUACCGCAUAACAAUGGGUGACACAUGUCAUUUAUUUGAAAGGGGCAAUUGCUCCACUACAAGAUGGACCUGCGUUGUAUUAGCUAGUAGGUGAGGUAACGGCUCACCUAGGCGACGAUACAUAGCCGACCUGAGAGGGUGAUCGGCCACACUGGGACUGAGACACGGCCCAGACUCCUACGGGAGGCAGCAGUAGGGAAUCUUCGGCAAUGGGGGCAACCCUGACCGAGCAACGCCGCGUGAGUGAAGAAGGUUUUCGGAUCGUAAAGCUCUGUUGUAAGUCAAGAACGAGUGUGAGAGUGGAAAGUUCACACUGUGACGGUAGCUUACCAGAAAGGGACGGCUAACUACGUGCCAGCAGCCGCGGUAAUACGUAGGUCCCGAGCGUUGUCCGGAUUUAUUGGGCGUAAAGCGAGCGCAGGCGGUUUGAUAAGUCUGAAGUUAAAGGCUGUGGCUCAACCAUAGUUCGCUUUGGAAACUGUCAAACUUGAGUGCAGAAGGGGAGAGUGGAAUUCCAUGUGUAGCGGUGAAAUGCGUAGAUAUAUGGAGGAACACCGGUGGCGAAAGCGGCUCUCUGGUCUGUAACUGACGCUGAGGCUCGAAAGCGUGGGGAGCGAACAGGAUUAGAUACCCUGGUAGUCCACGCCGUAAACGAUGAGUGCUAGGUGUUGGAUCCUUUCCGGGAUUCAGUGCCGCAGCUAACGCACUAAGCACUCCGCCUGGGGAGUACGACCGCAAGGUUGAAACUCAAAGGAAUUGACGGGGGCCCGCAC